Molecule: ribosomal RNA, 254 nt
Filed under: uncultured bacterium
Lineage: Bacteria
Description: partial 16S ribosomal RNA
Rfam family: Bacterial small subunit ribosomal RNA
Source: RNAcentral
UACGUAGGGGGCGAGCGUUGUCCGGAGUUACUGGGCGUAAAGAGCUCGUAGGCGGUGUGUCGCGUCGGCCGUGAAAACCUGCAGCUUAACUGUGGGCUUGCGGUCGAUACGGGCAUCACUGGAGUUCGGCAGGGGAGACUGGAAUUCCUGGUGUAGCGGUGAAAUGCGCAGAUAUCAGGAGGAACACCGGUGGCGAAGGCGGGUCUCUGGGCCGAUACUGACGCUGAGGAGCGAAAGCGUGGGGAGCGAACAGG